This is a long non-coding RNA of Diabrotica virgifera virgifera (western corn rootworm), 4031 nucleotides long. RefSeq lists it as uncharacterized. Lineage: Eukaryota; Metazoa; Arthropoda; Insecta; Coleoptera; Chrysomelidae. The record is from RefSeq and is a predicted model, not a curated record. The transcript has 2 exons.
UUGUAAUUAUAUUUCUCCGUCUAACAGUUUUUCUAAUUUUUUUAUCUAACCUAACUUCCAAUGUCAGACCAUGUGUUCUGAUAUUUUAGUUUCAAAUAUAAUUAUCUUUUAAUUUACAUGUAUGCACGUUUAGUAAUCAGAAUUUUAACUAUUCUCAUCUAAAUUUCAUUUGAUUUAUUCUUGUCAUCUGCUACUCUUUCUGACGAUUAGAACGGCAGAUGGCACACGUUGGUUUUUCUUCUUGAUGAUUGAUAUGUGUCUCUAUUUUAUAGUUUUUUGGAAAGAAAUCACUUUUCUCCCUUUGGGAGCUUCAAGCCAUCCACACCGGUGAUGGAACUAAGGCUGACACAAUGGGGACUUUGACAUCCAGACUCCAGCAUCCAACACCUUUAGCUGCAGGGGCCUAGGGCCGAAGAUCCGCCCAGGCCUACGAGAAGUCCACAACGGCAGCACCAUACGACAUCAAGAAGAUACCAUCAGCUACCAAAAGCCAUAAGUAUAAUCCAGAAUUGUUAGUUUUUGGCAAGAAUUUAAAUACAUUUGUUAAUGCAAUUUACUAAGUCAUUUUAUUUAUUAUAUCUUUAUGAACAAUAAACAUGAUUAGUUAAAAACUAUGUUUUGUUUGCUUCCAUUCCAAUUUUCAGAGUUCAUUCUAAGGUUAGGACAAGACGAACACACACCUGAGUGACUGAGCUAAGCUAAGGGUGUAAUGAUGGCUAUCUUGGUUAGUCGAGGUAAUAUUUUCGAAUAUUGUUUCAAUUAGCUGGGGUAGUCCAUCGCUAUUUCGUUUCACUGGCGCCGCAACGUUUCUCAUGUGUGCUUUUUCGUUACACUGGCGCACCAACGCACUUGUCUUAUCCGAAGAAUCGAGCUGUGAGUGUGUGGUUUGGUAGCAGACAACAAGCAUUAAUAAAUACUAUUUUCUUAUAUUUCAUUUUUAUAUUCAAUUUUUGCAGUAAAUCUAUAUAUAUUAUCUAUUUUGGUACUUUUUGACUACCUUUUUGACUGAUUUUUAUAUAUUUUCACAUGUUAUGGGUCAAAAAGUAUUACCAGUUUCAAUAAUUUAAUUAUAUAUUUCAGCAUAAUUGAUUUAAAAUACAUUUACAGUUGCAAAUAUUGGUAUUUUUAACAUUUUGAUAUUUUUACCUACUUUUUUUUGGCAAAUUUUUAUGUUAGAACCUUGAUAGUAAUGUCCACAUGGCAUUUUUUUCUGUUUUUUCAAUUUAACCAGUUUUUUUUGGUAGUUCUUCUUUAAUUACUCUUAUUUUGUUGUAACUUUCCAAAACCCAAGAGAAUUUUUCCAUUUAUUGUCAUAUUUUCUGUACUUUUUAUACGUACUAUUUCUUCCACGUUCUUUUCAUAGGUACUUCUGUGUACUCUAAAGUGCAUUUAAAUCUUGUUUUAUUACUUAUUUUCAAUUACUUUUCACUUAUUCUUAUAUUUCCUAGUUGUUUUCAUAUAUUUAUUACCCAUUUUGUACAACUACCAAAAAUUUUGUUGUUUCCGUCGAACUUUCUGUUCGGAUGGUAUAUACUACUUUACUUGUAUAGUAAAGACUAGGACAAUUUUCAAGUUCUUUUCUUUCAUUGAGGUAUUUUAUUCUUAUUCUUCUUCUUUACGUAUUCAGAAUAUUAAUUUAAAUCAUUCUUCUUCUUCUUGUCUUGAAUCUCAAAAAAUUUUUUGUUCGUGAAGCAUCAUAUUUUACAUUUUUCAAUUUUUUGCAUUAUUGCACUUAUAUUAAUUGUGAUAAACAUUAUAUUUAACAUCUUUUUUAUUUAACAAUGCCCUAUUUAUCUAUAUAUUAUUGUUUUAUUAUUUUAUUUUGGGUGUUGUACUGAUUUUUGAUACAGAUUAGCAUGAAAGCCUCAUCCGGCACUUAUAAGUUGUGUAUGGCUUAUAUAUAGCUGCAUAGACACCUAGUGUUUUUUUUUCCUAGGGUACAUAUAAGUUAUCCAUAGGGUUGGGCCAGAUCUAUUGAGUCUGAGUUCCGUUUUUUUGGUCUUAAUGACUGUUGAUAUACAGUUUAAUGCUGUAUAUUAUUUUUAGGAUGAUGUCUUUUAUAAAUUUUCUCUUUUGAAGUUAAAAUAAUUCUAUGCAUCUCUACUCUUCAUGAGCCUCUGGUGUGGAAUUAUGGCGCUUUGAAGUAUGAUUGUAGUUCAGCUACUAGCAUUUGUUAUUUUCCAUCUUUGCAAAUCAUAUUUAUGCAUUUUUAUACAUAUAUUUUGUUCUCUAGUGUAGAUCCCUGGUAUGCAUUUGAUGGAAGUAACAUUUGAAUUAUGUAUCAUUAUCUCUCUCUCUUUAUUAACUUAUUGGUUAAGUCUUUUAGGACUGGUUUUAUGCAGUUUUUUCAAACCCUUUGGUGUAGAACUUUGUCUUAUUUGGCUUUCCAUAUAGUUGGUACUUAUUUUUUUUAAUGGUUUAUCUAUAGUUGCACUUGCAUUUCUUUUUAUCAUAUUAUACUUAUGUUAUCUUUAUCUACUUAUAUGCUUUUACUCAUCUCAUCAUAUUGAUUAUUAUAUUAUUACCUUACUUUAGGUACUGGUUAUCCGAGUACUUGUUAUUUUGUUUGAGAUUCAGUUGUUAGUAGCUCCAAUAGCUAUUGAUUUAUUUUAUUAAGGAUGUGAUAUCCAUUAUAUUUACUUUUUGGUUAUAUGCCUUUUAUUUUAUAUAGAUACCUGAAUAUUUGCAAUUCAUUUUUAAUAUGUCUACAUUAUUUGACUAUGGUUACUUACUUAUUUGGAUUCUUAGUUAAAUUUGAUUAUUACUUACACUUUAUACUACAUGUCUUUAUAAUUUUGAAUUAAUUUCAUACUUUUUAAAAUACAUUUAUUUUUUUUAUCCAGAGAUAAAUAUUCUCUGAUGUCAUUUAUUUAUAAUGAAUAAAUAUUUUACAGUGUGAUGAAUACUACAAUUCAUUGGGUAAUAUUUUUAUUUUCCCCAGAGUAACAUCUGAAAAUUAUUUUGGUACUUUAAAAUUUUUUAUGAUUAAUAAUUUAAAUUAACUAUAUGCAUUGACUUAAUAUUUACUUUAUUAUGAGUAUUUAUUUUUGAUUUGUUUUGAACGAUUACUACUGCAUAUAUUUAUUUCUGGUUGGAACUUUGUCUUCUUAUUUUCUUUGAGAAAAAUUUCUCACCUGUGUUCGAAAUUUUUCUGAUGAGUGGAGGGAGUGUGUAACAUUCCUGUUUUCUUUGAGAAAAAUUUCUCACGUGUGUUCAAAAUUUUUCUGAUGGGUGAGAGGAGUGUGUAACGUUACAAACGUCACAUCUUUGAUAUUUUGUUUUUAAAUAAUUAUUUUACCUUAUUUCCUUUAAUAUUUCAUUAAUAAUUAUCUUCUUUUAAUUGGUUUACCCAUUUCCCCCUUUAAAAAUCGGUUGGCGCUCAUUUAUUACCUUCUUUUAUUAUCUUCUAUUUAAUAUAUCUCUUUUAUUUAAAUCAUCAUCUGAACAUACUGAACAUACCUCGUAUAUUCAUACUCUCCAAAUAUCUGUAUUUUCAAUACGGAACAUGCCGCUACUUCAUAGUACUUGGUUGUCAUUUUAAAUGUCGUUUUCAAUGACAGUGUCACUUCAUCGACUUGACCACCUACUCCCUGACAUACCUACACUGGAAGGAAAAAAUUAAUCCUUAAAAAGGCAUGUAAUUCGAAAAAUAAAUCAUUUCUAUUUCAACAAAUCAUCUUCCUCUUGGGUUUUUUGGAAAGAAAUCACUUUUCUCCCUUUGGGAGCUUCAAGCCAUCCACACCGGUGAUGGAACUAAGGCUGACACAAUGGGGACUUUGACAUCCAGACUCCAGCAUCCAACACCUUUAGCUGCAGGGGCCUAGGGCCGAAGAUCCGCCCAGGCCUACGAGAAGUCCACAACAGCAGCACCAUACGACAUCAAGAAGAUACCAUCAGCUACCAAAAGCCAUAAGUAUAAUCCAGAAUUGUUAGUUUUUGGCAAGAAUUUAAAUACAUUUGUUAAUGCAAUUUACUAAGUCAUUUUAUUUAUUAUAUCUUUAUGAACAAUAAACAUGAUUAGUUAAAAACUA